AUCAUGCUACCGAUACGUUGACGACGAGUGCUACGCGGGUCUGUUCGGCUAUUGGGGUUUCUGUGCGAUUGACCCCACCAUAACGCCAUCGCAGCACUAUAACAGCGUGAAAUGAGAAUCGUAGCGUUGGUACAGCGCAACACAUAGGACUUUCGCUGCUACGCGUACUGCUCUUCGAGUGGCCAUGCUGUCGUUAACGCCAAUGUUAUACUGCGUAGAGGCAGACACUUCUGAUUCAGGACAGAAAGCGCUUCGAACAGCGUCGCAUCUGCGCCGGUCAGCAAAUAACACUGAACAUUGCUGAGCCUGAGUUGCGUGGAGGGAGUUGUUACUUGUUGGAUGUAUACAGAUCGAUCUUCGUUGCAUAAUCUCACGUCAGGUAGAUGCCGAUGUUGCUGCUUCCGAAUUCACUUUCGAUGAAAAUAGGAAAUUAAUCGAAAGGAUCUGUAUCUAUCGAUCUGUGACGAGAUCCUUGCCAUCUUCAACCCUUUUACCUGGCAUCGUGACGGAAUCACCACAGGCGUACACCGACAUCACACGCAGCAACCUAAAUUGCGCUUUUCCGCAACGAAACGCCCAUUUCUGCAGUUUAGCGGUGAUUGUUGUACAACAGAGACAAAUCGUGAGCGAUCUGCGGACGAUGGGCAACAGACGGCAUUAGGCGCAGCUGUUAAAGGGCAGACGAUGAUAUCCAUCAUCAUUAUUACCAUCGGCAGGAAAAAAUGGUGACUAUAAAUCGGGAGCGUCCGGAAACUUUUCGUCUGAAUAAGAAAUGGUGUAGGAGGAAUGGCUCUGGCUGAUACUCGCUGGUCGCGUCUAUUGAAUCAACCUUAAAACGACGCGUCUGUGAGCGUCGUUUAUUGGCACACUGCCCCAGCCAUUGCGUAGCCACCAUCGUCAACAACUCCCAUUAUUUUAAUGUAUGCCGUUUGUCUCACCGCACCACUAUGACGUGUGAAUGGUAGCUUGUGCUGAUAAGUCGUCGUUGAUAAUGACAUUAGUACACGUUUUGGUAGAACGUAAACGUACCGUGCCUUUGUGCUCGGUGUAGUAUUUGAUUCUACUUGAAACGCUCGUAAUUUGCAAUACGUUACGACUCGAUUGGACGGAACGGCUGGCCUCAGCGUCAAAGGCUAACAUCGGUGCACUACAAAUUGUACGUUCGGUCAGUGUCAUGUUUGUAUUUAUGGUGCAAGCUCCAGUCAGAUUGAAGUUAUCGCAUCAUAUUUAUGCUGCUGCACGGGUCAGGGAUUAUGCAAAAAUAAGUUCAAAUGAGAAGCGACCGGCGACAGGAUCAGCGCAGCUACAUAAUACGGUUACGAUAGCGGCUGAGUCAAUACGCAGAGCAUCUAGCUCAAGAGGUACGAGUCAUCCGUUACAGAUUUAGUAUGUUCUCAGGCCAAUCGAACCAAAGCGGUAACGGGCCAAAAAA
Long non-coding RNA from Varroa destructor (honeybee mite), 1432 nucleotides. The record is from RefSeq and is a predicted model, not a curated record. NCBI's taxonomy places the organism in Eukaryota, Metazoa, Arthropoda, Arachnida, Mesostigmata, Varroidae.